Molecule: ribosomal RNA, 403 nt
Filed under: Verrucomicrobiota bacterium
Lineage: Bacteria; Pseudomonadati; Verrucomicrobiota
Also listed under: 1 other name
Description: Verrucomicrobia bacterium partial 16S ribosomal RNA
Rfam family: Bacterial small subunit ribosomal RNA
Source: RNAcentral
UGGGGAAUAUUGCACAAUGGAGGGAACUCUGAUGCAGCGACGCCGCGUGAACGAAGAAGGCUUUCGAGUCGUAAAGUUCUUUUAUAUGGGAAGAUAAUGACGGUACCAUAGGAGGAAGCCCCGGCUAACUACGUGCCAGCAGCCGCGGUAAUACGUAGGGGGCGAGCGUUGUCCGGAAUUACUGGGCGUAAAGGGUUCGCAGGCGGCAUGGCAAGUCCGAUGUAAAAGGCGAAGGCUCAACCUUCGUAAGCAUCGGAAACUGUCAAGCUUGAGUGAAGGAGAGGCAAGUGGAAUUCCUAGUGUAGCGGUGGAAUGCGUAGAUAUUAGGAGGAAUACCGGUGGCGAAGGCGACUUGCUGGACUUCAACUGACGCUGAGGAACGAAAGCGUGGGUAGCAAACAGG